GGCGUCAAGAAGAAGAAAACGACUCAAGUCCCAGCUUAUCUCGUCUUGAAUAACUGCACACCACAUCCUGCAGAAGUGCUAACCUCAGCCGCCCGCCGCACCACGAGCCCCUCUGAGCGCCGGUUCUGGCUACCCUAUUCCUGCUAUUCCUGCCGGGACGAGCUCCUGGAUCCCAGCUUUCUCAGGAACACAUCAGGAACGUGACUGUUUUAAGAAGAAAGAAGUACAAACUGUUUCACAGUCUCCUCUCUUCCCCAUGUGGUGCAGGCUAUUCUCACUUGAGAACAGGGACCUCCAGUUGACGGAAAAUCCUCUCAGAUACGCCCAGAACUAGCCUGUCCUCUGUCUCUGUCUGAGCCACGGGAAAGAUGCCUUUCACCAAGACACCUUAGACACCUCCCCAGAGGAUAUGGUAACGUUAAAGUGCUUUUCUAUAAAAACCUGAAUGUUUUAGGGUCACUCAUCCUACAUCCCAAACAGGACCAGCAGUAACAUGACUAUUUUUAAUAUCUAACUACGAAAUUUCUGACUUCUUGAAUUACAUUAAUACUAGUAACAAUGCAAGCUGUGACAAGAGAAACAUGUUUCCACAGAACAUUCAAG
Nothoprocta perdicaria is the source of this 603-nucleotide long non-coding RNA. RefSeq lists it as uncharacterized. The record is from RefSeq and is a predicted model, not a curated record. The transcript has 2 exons. Lineage: Eukaryota; Metazoa; Chordata; Aves; Tinamiformes; Tinamidae.